GAAGCAGUACCGGAAGGAGCUGUGGACUGUAUGGAAGAGAGAAUGCCGGAAUGAGUAGCGAGAGGAAGGUGGGAAUCCUUCCGGCCGAAUAUCCAAGGUUUCCAGGGUAAAGCUGAUCUGCCCUGGGUAAGUCGGGACCUAAGGCGAGGCCGAGAGGCGUAGUCGAUGGACAACAGGCAGAAAUUCCUGUACUGCUGUACAACAGAACUGUGGGGACGCAGAAAGAGAGCGCGAGCCGGGAAUGGAGAGACCGGUGCAAGCGGGGUACCAGUCCGGUUGGAAAAACCGCCGGGCAAUGGGAAGACGUGAUGCGGAGCGAAGAAAAAGUAGUGAAGCGCGUGAGCUGGCUGCCAAGAAAAGCCGCUAUUGUUUGUACAGUACCCGUACCGUAAACCGACACAGGUGGAUGAGGAGAGAAUCCUAAGGCCGACGGGAGAAGCAUUGUUAAGGAACUCGGCAAAAUGACUCCGUAACUUCGGGAGAAGGAGUGCCAGUGAGAGCUGGCCGCAGAGAAUAGGCCCAAGCAACUGUUUAGCAAAAACACAGGUCUAUGCAAAACCGAAAGGUGAGGUAUAUGGGCUGACGCCUGCCCGGUGCUGGAAGGUUAAGGGGAGAGGUUAGCGCAAGCGAAGCUUUGAACUUAAGCCCCAGUAAACGGCGGCCGUAACUAUAACGGUCCUAAGGUAGCGAAAUUCCUUGUCGGGUAAGUUCCGACCCGCACGAAAGGCGUAAUGAUUUGGGCACUGUCUCGACAAUGCACCCGGUGAAAUUGAAGUACCAGUGAAGAUGCUGGUUACCUGCGCCAGGACGGAAAGACCCCAUGGAGCUUUACUCCAGCUUGAUACUGGGAUUCGGUAUUGCAUGUACAGGAUAGGUGGGAGGCUAAGAAGUAAGGACGCCAGUCCUUAUGGAGCCGCUGUUGGGAUACCACCCUUGCGGUAUUGGGUUUCUAACCAGCAGCCGUGACCCGGCUGGGGGACAAUGUCAGGUGGGGAGUUUGACUGGGGCGGUCGCCUCCGAAAGGGUAUCGGAGGCGCUCAAAGGUUCCCUCAGAAUGGACGGAAACCAUUCGAAGAGUGCAAAGGCAGAAGGGAGCUUGACUGCGACACCGACGGGUGGAGCAGGUACGAAAGUAGGACUUAGUGAUCCGGUGGUAUAAAGUGGGAUUGCCAUCGCUCAACGGAUAAAAGCUACCCUGGGGAUAACAGGCUUAUCACUCCCAAGAGUUCACAUCGACGGAGUGGUUUGGCACCUCGAUGUCGGCUCAUCGCAUCCUGGGGCUGAAGUAGGUCCCAAGGGUUGGGCUGUUCGCCCAUUAAAGCGGUACGCGAGCUGGGUUCAGAACGUCGUGAGACAGUUCGGUCCCUAUCCGGCGUGGGCGUAGGAUAUUUGAGAGGAGCUGUCCUUAGUACGAGAGGACCGGGAUGGACCGGCCGCUGGUGUACCUGUUGCAUUACCAAGUGCAUGGCAGGGUAGCCAAGCCGGGAAGGGAUAAACGCUGAAGGCAUCUAAGCGUGAAGCCCCCCUCAAGAUGAGAUAUCCCAUGCGAAAGCAGUAAGACCCCUUGAAGACGACGAGGUAGAUAGGGCAGAGGUGGAAGUGUGGUAACACAUGGAGCUGACUGUUACUAAUAGGUCGAGGGCAUAACCAAG
This 1652-nucleotide ribosomal RNA is filed under the name Drancourtella sp. An57. RNAcentral describes it as "bacterial LSU rRNA". It matches the Rfam family "Bacterial large subunit ribosomal RNA", at positions 1252 to 2925 of the family's 2925-position model. The record is from RNAcentral. Lineage: Bacteria; Bacillati; Bacillota; Clostridia; Eubacteriales; Oscillospiraceae.